GCUGUGUUUGAUUAGGGAAGCUGCAAAAAUAGCCGACCGCUCUUCGCGAAAACCCGAUGAUUUAACGCCUUUAAAAGUAUCGACACAAGAUUCAUGACGGGAAAAUGUUUUAGGGAAGCUCGCAGUUCGAGUUGUGUUCAAAGUUUUUCCAAAUUCCAAUGUAAUGCAAUGAUCACGCGCACUGUCUAGCAGUCAUAAUCACAGAGUGACCAUCAUAAAGCGAAAGAUGAGGACCAUGGACACCGAUAUAUUAUAUAUACUUAGACAGCACAGGUGCAAGCUCGAUUAACAUACGUCGUCCACGCGAUAUUAUUGUACGUGCUUCAAGAGAAAAGAGUGGUUGUUUCGUCAAAUAGAAACAUUAAAUUCAAACAUGAAACUUGCUGCAGCCAUUCAGAAUGGUUGUCGAUGACGAGCCUCAAAUUCAAACCCGAUGUAAGCGCACGAUGUGAGGACUUGGCGACGGAACAAAGUGUGUAGCUCAGGGGCACACAUCCCAAAAACAUAGCUAUAUAUUUGGCGAAGAGAAACUCUAUGUUCUUGGACAUGCUUUUGUAUUGUCUGCGUUUGAUGGAAUAGCCUACAUUUUUAGCUGGAUCAAUUUUUCGUCCUCUCUAAGUGUGUGAAUCGACUUUUUAUACAGAUAUCAUGUGCACUACUGAUAUGCCGAAACGUGUUCACUUUACAGUAAAAGUUUUUGUAAAAUAAAAACAAUAAAACACG
Xenia sp. Carnegie-2017 is the source of this 723-nucleotide long non-coding RNA. RefSeq lists it as uncharacterized. The record is from RefSeq and is a predicted model, not a curated record. The transcript has 2 exons. NCBI's taxonomy places the organism in Eukaryota, Metazoa, Cnidaria, Anthozoa, Malacalcyonacea, Xeniidae.